UGGGCUGCAGCCCACGAACGCUUAUGCUCUAAUAAAUAUUUAGUCUCUAAGGUGCCACAAGUACCCCUGUUCUUUUUGCGGAUACAGACUAACACGGCUCUACUCUAAAACAGACCUAGGUGGUUCUGAGUUCUGAAUGUGGGCAAAGAGCUUAAAUUUAAUUUAGAGGGGCAUGGGAGCCCAGCCAGGGAUUUGGAGCAGGGCUGUAUAUGAUCAGGCUAAAGCAAAUGCUUUUUCUUUUUCUGGCACUAUUUUGGAUCUUUCAUGGGGAAAAAUUGUGGGAGGCCAAAGAGAAAAAUGUAGCAAUCAAAGUGGGAAGUAGAAUAAUAGAACUGGACCUCAAGAGUUCAUCUAGUCCAGUCUCCAGCACUCGUGGCAGGACUAAGUAUUAUGAGACCAUUCCUGACAGGCAAGGAGGGGGGAGUACUUGUGGCACCUUAGAGACUA
Molecule: long non-coding RNA, 447 nt
Organism: Dermochelys coriacea (leatherback sea turtle)
Lineage: Eukaryota; Metazoa; Chordata; Testudines; Dermochelyidae
Exons: 3
Source: RefSeq, a predicted model, not a curated record